CCUAUCACUAGUCACGUGAGAGAAGAGGCUGACCCCCAGCUCACUGCAACCUCCCUCCAGGUAGUAAUAGAGAGCAAUGAGGUCUUCCCUGAGCCUCCUCUUCUCUAAACUGAACAAUCCCAGCUCCUUCAGCCACUCCUCAUAAGGCCUGUGCUCCAGACCCCUCACCAGCUUGGUUGCCCUCCUCUGGACACGCUCCAGGGCCUCAAUGUCUUUCUUACAGUGAGGGGCCCAAAACUGGACACAGUACUCGUGGAGUGGCUGAAGGAGCUGGGAUUGUUCAGUCUAGAGAAGAGGAGGCUCAGGGGAGACCUUAUUGCUCUCUAUAACUACCUGAAGGGAGGUUGUGGUGAGCUGGGGGUCAGCCUCUUCUCCCGGGUGACUAGUGAUAGGACGAGAGGGAAUGGCUUCAAGCUGCGCCAGGGAAGAUUCAGGCUGGACGUUAGGAAAUACUACUUCUCUGAAAGGGUGGUCAGGCACUGGAAUGGGCUGCCCAGAGAGGUAGUGGAGUCACCGAGCCUGGUGGUGUUUAAAGAGCGUUUGGAUGUUGUGUUAAGGGACAUGGUUUAGCGAGAACCAUUGAUGAAGGGCAG
Molecule: long non-coding RNA, 593 nt
Filed under: Gallus gallus (chicken)
Lineage: Eukaryota; Metazoa; Chordata; Aves; Galliformes; Phasianidae
Description: lncRNA (ENSGALG00010006159.1)
Source: RNAcentral